CGCUGAUGUUUGGUGUUUACACUAGACUGAUGAGUUGCGAACGGGUGAGUAACGCGUAGGUAACCUGCCUCAUAGCGGGGGAUAACUAUUGGAAACGAUAGCUAAUACCGCAUAAGAGUGAUUAACACAUGUUAGUUAUUUAAAAGGAGCAAUUGCUUCACUGUGAGAUGGACCUGCGUUGUAUUAGCUAGUUGGUGAGGUAAAGGCUCACCAAGGCGACGAUACAUAGCCGACCUGAGAGGGUGAUCGGCCACACUGGGACUGAGACACGGCCCAGACUCCUACGGGAGGCAGCAGUAGGGAAUCUUCGGCAAUGGACGGAAGUCUGACCGAGCAACGCCGCGUGAGUGAAGAAGGUUUUCGGAUCGUAAAGCUCUGUUGUUAGAGAAGAACGUUGGUAGGAGUGGAAAAUCUACCAAGUGACGGUAACUAACCAGAAAGGGACGGCUAACUACGUGCCAGCAGCCGCGGUAAUACGUAGGGUGCGAGCGUUGUCCGGAAUUACUGGGCGUAAAGGGCUCGUAGGUGGUUUGUCGCGUCGUCUGUGAAAUUCCGGGGCUUAACUCCGGGCGUGCAGGCGAUACGGGCAUAACUUGAGUACUGUAGGGGUAACUGGAAUUCCUGGUGUACGGUGAAAUGCGCAGAUAUCCGGAGGAACACCGAUGGCGAAGGCAGGUUACUGGGCAGUUACUGACGCUGAGGAGCGAAAGCAUGGGUAGCGAACCAGGAUUAGAUACCCUGGUAAGUCCAUGCCGUAAACGGUGGGGCCCUAGGUGU
RNAcentral lists this ribosomal RNA (777 nucleotides) under uncultured Streptococcaceae bacterium. RNAcentral describes it as "bacterial SSU rRNA". It matches the Rfam family "Bacterial small subunit ribosomal RNA", at positions 65 to 823 of the family's 1533-position model. The record is from RNAcentral. Lineage: Bacteria; Bacillati; Bacillota; Bacilli; Lactobacillales; Streptococcaceae.